Molecule: ribosomal RNA, 464 nt
Filed under: uncultured bacterium
Lineage: Bacteria
Description: bacterial SSU rRNA
Rfam family: Bacterial small subunit ribosomal RNA
Source: RNAcentral
AUGAACGCUGGCGGCGUGCUUAACACAUGCAAGUCGAACGAUGAAGCCCAGCUUGCUGGGUGGAUUAGUGGCGAACGGGUGAGUAACACGUGAGUAACCUGCCCUUGACUCUGGGAUAAGCCUGGGAAACUAGGUCUAAUACCGGAUAUGAGCGUCCACCGCAUGGUGGGUGCUGGAAAGAUUUAUCGGUCAUGGAUGGACUCGCGGCCUAUCAGCUUGUUGGUGAGGUAAUGGCUCACCAAGGCGACGACGGGUAGCCGGCCUGAGAGGGUGACCGGCCACACUGGGACUGAGACACGGCCCAGACUCCUACGGGAGGCAGCAGUGGGGAAUAUUGCACAAUGGGCGAAAGCCUGAUGCAGCGACGCCGCGUGAGGGAUGACGGCCUUCGGGUUGUAAACCUCUUUCAGUAGGGAAGAAGCGAAAGUGACGGUACCUGCAGAAGAAGCACCGGCUAACUACGU